CCUACUGGAGACAUCAUUGAGGCAUCUUGGUCAAUGGGCGCGAGCCUGAACCAGCCAAGUCGCGUGAGGUCUUCCUUCCCUCCUUUUUUUCCCCCUCUUUUUCCUUUUAUCAACGGGCGUCACGUGUGGCGCCACUGAGAGUACCCGGAGAAAAAGCAUCGGCUAACUCCGUGCCAGCAGCCGCGGUAAUACGGAGGAUGCGAGCGUUAUCCGGAUUUAUUGGGUUUAAAGGGUGCGUAGGCGGAUCGUUAAGUCAGUGGUCAAAUUGAGGGGCUCAACCCCUUCCCGCCAUUGAAACUGGCGCUCUUGAGUGGAAGAGAAGUAUGCGGAAUGCGUGGUGUAGCGGUGAAAUGCAUAGAUAUCACGCAGAACCCCGAUUGCGAAGGCAGCAUGCCGGCUUCCGACUGACGCUGAAGCACGAAAGCGUGGGGAUCGAACAGGAUUAGAUACCCUAGUAGUC
This 460-nucleotide ribosomal RNA is filed under the name uncultured bacterium. RNAcentral's name for it is "partial 16S ribosomal RNA". It matches the Rfam family "Bacterial small subunit ribosomal RNA", at positions 338 to 795 of the family's 1533-position model. The record is from RNAcentral.